This 371-nucleotide ribosomal RNA is filed under the name uncultured bacterium. RNAcentral's name for it is "bacterial SSU rRNA". It matches the Rfam family "Bacterial small subunit ribosomal RNA", at positions 524 to 896 of the family's 1533-position model. The record is from RNAcentral.
UACGAAGGGGGCUAGCGUUGUUCGGAAUUACUGGGCGUAAAGCGAGCGUAGGUUGCUCGACAAGUCAGUGGUGAAAGCCCAGAGCUCAACUCUGGAACUGCCAUUGAAACUGUCGAGCUGGAAUCUCAGAGGGGGUAGCGGAAUUCCAAAUGUAGGGGUGAAAUCCGUAGAUAUUUGGAGGAACACCGGUGGCGAAGGCGGCUACCUGGAUGAGUAUUGACACUGAGGCUCGAAAGCGUGGGGAUCAAACAGGAUUAGAUACCCUGGUAGUCCACGCUGUAAACGAUGGAUGCUAGUUGUUAGGGGGUUCCCCCUUAGUGACGUAGCUAACGCGUUAAGCAUCCCGCCUGGGGAGUACGGUCGCAAGAUUA